CUUUUUGCGGCGUUGUUGGUGUCUGGAAGACCUAGCCGCCGCCUCUUCUUAGGGUUUCAGUGAUUUCUAACUUAUGCAUUCAUCAAUACCUAUAUUCAUUUCUUGAGUGCUUCUGUGAUAUUUUUCAAGAUUUGGUGCUUUUUGAAAGAUGGGAUCCAUCACUGUCUUCUCCAAACGAUUCAACAAAUAGGUUUUCCGAUUAAAUUCACGUAUUGAAGUAGAUUUUGAGCAAUUGUCAGAGGUGACGUUGUUUGCUGACACUAUUACAGUUCAACAAUUGGGAGUGAUGAUUUGGCAUACCAGAAAGGUCCUUUAGAGAGCUGAUCAUUCUUCCAAUCGAUUGCAAGCAGGUUCGUUUUCCAUAGAUUUGGUGUUAUUUUG
Molecule: long non-coding RNA, 381 nt
Organism: Helianthus annuus (common sunflower)
Lineage: Eukaryota; Viridiplantae; Streptophyta; Magnoliopsida; Asterales; Asteraceae
Exons: 3
Source: RefSeq, a predicted model, not a curated record